CGAGUCCUGAUGUGUACGUUUGUACCAUCUAUCUGUUUUGACCGAACAAUUAUAACGUUGGGAUUCCGAAGUUUCAUUACGGCGUACAUGCCUUUUCCCGAGGACGUACAAACUAGUGAUCAGGAAACCCACCUGCCGAGUGCGGGUUCAAAACGUUAGAUCUUUAUGACGACGGCAUGAUUGGGACUCGU
This 191-nucleotide non-coding RNA is filed under the name Mangrovibacillus cuniculi. RNAcentral describes it as "6S / SsrS RNA". It matches the Rfam family "6S / SsrS RNA". From Rfam's summary of the family: E. coli 6S RNA was the first non coding RNA to be sequenced, but its function was unknown until recently. The record is from Rfam by way of RNAcentral. Lineage: Bacteria; Bacillati; Bacillota; Bacilli; Caryophanales; Bacillaceae.